Molecule: ribosomal RNA, 484 nt
Filed under: uncultured bacterium
Lineage: Bacteria
Description: partial 16S ribosomal RNA
Rfam family: Bacterial small subunit ribosomal RNA
Source: RNAcentral
AUUGAACGCUAGCGGGAUGCUUUACACAUGCAAGUCGAACGGCAGCGCGGACUUCGGUCUGGCGGCGAGUGGCGAACGGGUGAGUAAUGUAUCGGAACGUGCCCAGUAGCGGGGGAUAACUACGCGAAAGCGUAGCUAAUACCGCAUACGCCCUACGGGGGAAAGCAGGGGAUCGUAAGACCUUGCACUAUUGGAGCGGCCGAUAUCGGAUUAGCUAGUUGGUGAGGUAACGGCUCACCAAGGCGACGAUCCGUAGCUGGUUUGAGAGGACGACCAGCCACACUGGGACUGAGACACGGCCCAGACUCCUACGGGAGGCAGCAGUGGGGAAUUUUGGACAAAAGGGGCAACCCUGAUCCAGCCAUCCCGCGUGUGCGAUGAAGGCCUUCGGGUUGUAAAGCACUUUUGGCAGGAAAGAAACGUCGCGGGCUAAUACCCCGUGGAACUGACGGUACCUGCAGAAUAAGCACCGGCUAACUACGUG